AGACCCGAAACCCGGUGAUCUAGCCAUGGGCAGGUUGAAGGUUGGGUAACACUAACUGGAGGACCGAACCGACUAAUGUUGAAAAAUUAGCGGAUGACCUGUGGCUGGGGGUGAAAGGCCAAUCAAACCGGGAGAUAGCUGGUUCUCCCCGAAAGCUAUUUAGGUAGCGCCUCGUGAAUUCAUCUCCGGGGGUAGAGCACUGUUUCGGCUAGGGGGCCAUCCCGGCUUACCAACCCGAUGCAAACUGCGAAUACCGGAGAAUGUUAUCACGGGAGACACACGGCGGGUGCUAACGUCCGUCGUGAAGAGGGAAACAACCCAGACCGCCAGCUAAGGUCCCAAAGUCAUAGUUAAGUGGGAAACGAUGUGGGAAGGCCCAGACAGCCAGGAUGUUGGCUUAGAAGCAGCCAUCAUUUAAAGAAAGCGUAAUAGCUCACUGGUCGAGUCGGCCUGCGCGGAAGAUGUAACGGGGCUAAACUAUGCACCGAAGCUGCGGCAGCGACACUAUGUGUUGUUGGGUAGGGGAGCGUUCUGUAAGC
Molecule: ribosomal RNA, 539 nt
Filed under: Salmonella enterica
Lineage: Bacteria; Pseudomonadati; Pseudomonadota; Gammaproteobacteria; Enterobacterales; Enterobacteriaceae
Description: partial 23S ribosomal RNA
Rfam family: Bacterial large subunit ribosomal RNA
Source: RNAcentral